This 800-nucleotide ribosomal RNA is filed under the name Mycobacterium tuberculosis. Its description in RNAcentral is "bacterial SSU rRNA". It matches the Rfam family "Bacterial small subunit ribosomal RNA", at positions 8 to 809 of the family's 1533-position model. Lineage: Bacteria; Bacillati; Actinomycetota; Actinomycetes; Mycobacteriales; Mycobacteriaceae. The record is from RNAcentral.
AGAGUUUGAUCCUGGCUCAGGACGAACGCUGGCGGCGUGCUUAACACAUGCAAGUCGAACGGAAAGGUCUCUUCGGAGAUACUCGAGUGGCGAACGGGUGAGUAACACGUGGGUGAUCUGCCCUGCACUUCGGGAUAAGCCUGGGAAACUGGGUCUAAUACCGGAUAGGACCACGGGAUGCAUGUCUUGUGGUGGAAAGCGCUUUAGCGGUGUGGGAUGAGCCCGCGGCCUAUCAGCUUGUUGGUGGGGUGACGGCCUACCAAGGCGACGACGGGUAGCCGGCCUGAGAGGGUGUCCGGCCACACUGGGACUGAGAUACGGCCCAGACUCCUACGGGAGGCAGCAGUGGGGAAUAUUGCACAAUGGGCGCAAGCCUGAUGCAGCGACGCCGCGUGGGGGAUGACGGCCUUCGGGUUGUAAACCUCUUUCACCAUCGACGAAGGUCCGGGUUCUCUCGGAUUGACGGUAGGUGGAGAAGAAGCACCGGCCAACUACGUGCCAGCAGCCGCGGUAAUACGUAGGGUGCGAGCGUUGUCCGGAAUUACUGGGCGUAAAGAGCUCGUAGGUGGUUUGUCGCGUUGUUCGUGAAAUCUCACGGCUUAACUGUGAGCGUGCGGGCGAUACGGGCAGACUAGAGUACUGCAGGGGAGACUGGAAUUCCUGGUGUAGCGGUGGAAUGCGCAGAUAUCAGGAGGAACACCGGUGGCGAAGGCGGGUCUCUGGGCAGUAACUGACGCUGAGGAGCGAAAGCGUGGGGAGCGAACAGGAUUAGAUACCCUGGUAGUCCACGCCGUAAACGG